GCCAGCAACCGUAUCAUCCUGGAUCUCACAACUGGCAGCCCACUAAAGCUAAGCAGGAGGGUGCCUGGUCAGUACCUGGAUGGGAGACCUCCUGGGAAAAACUAAGGUUGCUGCUAGAA
RNAcentral lists this ribosomal RNA (119 nucleotides) under Lepisosteus oculatus (spotted gar). Lineage: Eukaryota; Metazoa; Chordata; Actinopteri; Semionotiformes; Lepisosteidae. The record is from RNAcentral.